AAAGAUCGCAGCCUUCGGCAGCUCCUACAGGAUCGGGUUUCCACGCGGUCAAUGUAGGAGCUGCCGAAGGCUGCGAUCUUU
This 81-nucleotide unclassified non-coding RNA is filed under the name Pseudomonas lini. The record is from RNAcentral. Lineage: Bacteria; Pseudomonadati; Pseudomonadota; Gammaproteobacteria; Pseudomonadales; Pseudomonadaceae.